CGAUUUCUUUAAAGGCCUCCAGAAGCAGCGACUCCACCGCCUCCCCGGGCAGGCCCUUCCAGAGUCCGUGAGGGGCUGUGACAGCGGCCACCAUGGCCGGCGGCUCCCUCAGCGCUGCCCGGGGCGGGGCGCCUCUGUUACCGGUUUUAGGAGCUCCCAAAACACACACAAAACGUCUCAUUCAGAAAGGAGACAUCAUUUAAUCUGCGCACGGUGUAUGGUGGAGGUUUCCACAAAUCAAGCGCACCAAGGGGUAAAAAGCUGUAUCUUUUAUGCAGCAACAUUCUCACGAACCUGCCCAUCGAACACAUCUUCUCCGCCUAUCUAAUGCAUAUUUAUUUCGGUGACGUGACCUUGCGCGAUGCUUGAAACACAAGAUUUUUAUUUAUUUUUUUUUCAUUAAGCAACUUCUGUUGUAGAAGUUACCUGGCUACAUCAGUUACGUUUGCAAAAGCGAGCCAAAGCCUGUCUGCUGGGUUGCAUUGACCCUCCAAAGGUGUUAUAUUAGCUGUGCAUCCUGUGUGACCCUCCAGGAAGUUUUUUAAAGCUUCCUGGACAUACCACUUAAAGAAGAUGCCAAAGACAUCCCUCAAAAGGCAGCUCAGCAAUUAUAAAAUUCUUCCAGGAGAUGGAGGAAGCAUGUUGGCUUUCUGGAGCAAACUCUACUUGGCUUUCACAAUGCUGCAUCUUCCUCUGCCUUUUUGGAGCAGCUGCACUCAUGUUUGAAGAGCUGUUGAAAAUUCUUUUGUCUUAAUGGAGUUUUGGGGCUGAGGAGGAGCCUCACUGACAAACUGAUGCAGGAGGUGACAGUGGUGGAAGUCCAGGUGUCUUGGACUGUCGUAGCUUCUAGUAAUUCUGUGAAUUUACUAAGAAGUCUGAAGGAAUCAGACUUGUUUUGGGGUGACCAUCCCUGAGAAGUGUAAUUUUAAAGGCUUUUGCAUCAAGGCACCUUAGUGCUGUGUUGAGCCAUGUCUGCCCUUGGCUAAGAACAAAUGGCUCCUGUUCUUCUGCUGAUACAAAAUGGGUCACAAAACCUGGUCAAAGUAGUGUAGUUUUGUUUUUUUUUAAACAAGUCACUAAGAAAUUGCAACACACCUUCCUCUGUGAUGUAAACCUUCCUCACAAAAAGCAGUUCAGAUGUCCAGCUUUUGUUUUUUGAGGACCUUAAGGGAACCUGCAAAUUAUAAUUAGCACUUUUGGUAUUCUUGGGCACAGUGAUCCGUGGCUGAGCAGUGACUGGAGCAAACUUUGGCUCUUUCUUUGAGUUUGUGCAGGUUUUUCACUGCAUGAUUUUGCUUGCUUUUUGGGGCAGCUCUCGGUUUGAAGAAAACUUGCCAAUUAAGAGUUGUUGCAGAGCUGUUUUUGUUUUUUGAUCUAUUGUAUUUCUAUUCAGAGCAUCAGUGCAGACAGACAGCCAAAAUGUGCGGGGUUUGAGUGGUAUAUUCUGCUGCCUUUAGAGACUGGAGCCCUGAAUUUAGUCAAAAUGCUGCUUAUUUUCCUCUGUUACCAGUCUGCACUGAUGCUCUGAACUGCAACAAAAUAGAUUGAAAAACAAAUUGGUGUGCCCUGGUUCCUUGUGCUGGAUUUCACAUUAUCCUCUGUGUGAGCUGCCUGCUCUGCCCCUUUGGAGCGCCCCAGAGACAAGUAAUGACCCCUCAGCAUCUUUCAGCACUUCAAAGGCUGAAUUACUUUUUGUGGGAGAGGUAAGAAAAUUGAAUUGCAGUCCUUGAUUUUCUGGCUUUCCAAUAACCCUCAGUGUAAGAUCAUCACCUUGGUAACAAGAAAACAGGAAACUGGUAAACAGGCGCAGAAAGUAUUCAGAUUGUGAUUUAAGGCUGUCACUGCUCUUAGCUCCCCAGAGCUAAAAACAGAGGCCACUGUCAUGCCCAAGGGACUGCAGGGCUGAGCAACACAAGAGAUGUAUCCCAGCUUUCUGUCCUGCUUCGUUCACUGAUUUCCAUGAGGACUGUGAAAUGAGCCUUUGAGUGCAAAUGGGCUGGGAUGGGGUGAGCUCCUCUCACAGGGCAGGGAGCUGUCCUGGACUGGCAGCCACGCCUCCUGCAAAGACCACUUUGGAUUUUAGCUCCCCAAGCAGAGAGCUGAGUGUAGGAACAGGAGGGUUGUGGGGUGCUCCCGUGAGCCUCUCCAAUCAGCUCCAACAGAAGUGCCAUUAACUGAGGACAGAUAAGUUGGAUUCUCCCAUUUUCCUUAUUUCUGUCCACUUUUUUUUUUUUCCCCUGCCUUCUUAGUUUUAGCUUUUUAGAGCUUGCAUAGGACUUCCUUUCUUUUAGUUUUGCACUGGGUGUGCAGGGUGAUUUUAUACAGCUUCAUUAUCCAUGUGAGCACUGCAAGUUCCCUGUCUCUGCAUGGCUACAGCAGAGCAGUAGGCUGUGGAACCACUGUGCUUGGAGGGCUUGGCAGUGAGGCAAUAGUUGUUGGGUUUUUAAAUUUGGCAGAGGCAGACAGGCUCUGUCAGUGCUCAUUGCUGCUGAGCUAUCAGUUACCUGCUCUGAGAGACUCCCAGUUCUGCCCAGUCCCCCGGCCAAAUCUCCCAAAAGUCAUCUGGAGGAUGGCUGGGAGACAUAGCCACACAAACUCGGGUGAGAAACAAGAUGUAAUAUGUGUGGCAGUGGAGGGUCCUCCACCUAAAAAUCAGUUAUCAUUACUGGGCUCCUGACUGGAAGAGAGACUUUAGCCAAACCCAAGCCAAAACUGAGCCUGGAAAUCUGGGAGGCAGUGACGGAUGAGCAAUCAGAUUGCUGAUGGUGGUCCCUUCUGGCUCUAGAGAUCCAGAAUAAAAUACUGAAUAAAAGCCUGAAGUGUUCUCUGAGUAGGGUACAAUUGCCUUGAGACUAGUCUUGGUCAACAUCCCUUGUUAUAAAUCCUGUUCUCUUUGGUGGUUCUGGAUGGUUUGGGUCUCUAUAAUUAAAGAAAUAAAAUGUUUUUAAACAAA
This is a long non-coding RNA of Parus major (Great Tit), 2953 nucleotides long. RefSeq lists it as uncharacterized. The transcript is spliced from 3 exons. NCBI's taxonomy places the organism in Eukaryota, Metazoa, Chordata, Aves, Passeriformes, Paridae. The record is from RefSeq and is a predicted model, not a curated record.